Molecule: long non-coding RNA, 343 nt
Filed under: Hordeum vulgare
Lineage: Eukaryota; Viridiplantae; Streptophyta; Magnoliopsida; Poales; Poaceae
Description: long non-coding RNA (HVUL_LNC020961)
Source: RNAcentral
UCAUCGCCGUCAUCCUCGUCGUCGUUUUAGUCGUCAUUGUCAUCAUCGUCAUCGUUAUUGUCGUCAUUAUUGUUCUUGUUGUUGUUGUUGUUCUGGUUGUUUUUAUGGUUGUUCUUGUUGUUGUCAUCAUCGUCAUCAUAGUUUCGUUGUGUUGUUGUUAUUGUUGUCAUUGUUGUCAUUCUAGUCUUUGUUGUCGUUGUGGUUGUUGUUGUCGUUGUUGUCGUUGUUCUCAUCGUUAUCGUUGUGGUCGUUCUUGUCGUCGUUCUUGUUGUUGUCAUUGUUGUCUAUGAGGUCGUUGUUCUCGUCGUUGUCGUUGUGGUCGUCGUUGUCGCUGUGGUUGUCG